GCGAUGGAGGGACGGAGAAGGCUAGGCCAGCUUGGCGUUGGUUGUCCAAGUUUAAGGUGGUAGGCUGAAACCUUAGGUAAAUCCGGGGUUUCAAGGCCGAGAGCUGAUGACGAGUCGUCUUUUAGAUGACGAAGUGGUUGAUGCCAUGCUUCCAAGAAAAGCUUCUAAGCUUCAGGUAACCAGGAACCGUACCCCAAACCGACACAGGUGGUCGGGUAGAGAAUACCAAGGCGCUUGAGAGAACUCGGGUGAAGGAACUAGGCAAAAUGGCACCGUAACUUCGGGAGAAGGUGCGCCGGCUAGGGUGAAGGAUUUACUCCGUAAGCUCUGGCUGGUCGAAGAUACCAGGCCGCUGCGACUGUUUAUUAAAAACACAGCACUCUGCAAACACGAAAGUGGACCUAUAGGGUGUGACGCCUGCCCGGUGCCGGAAGGUUAAUUGAUGGGGUUAGCGCAAGCGAAGCUCUUGAUCGAAGCCCCGGUAAACGGCGGCCGUAACGAUAACGGUCCUAAGGUAGCGAAAUUCCUUGUCGGGUAAGUUCCGACCUGCACGAAUGGCGUAACGAUGGCGGCGCUGUCUCCACCCGAGACUCAGUGAAAUUGAAAUCGCUGUGAAGAUGCAGUGUAUCCGCGGCUAGACGGAAAGACCCCGUGAACCUUUACUGUAGCUUUGCACUGGACUUUGAGCCUGCUUGUGUAGGAUAGGUGGGAGGCUUUGAAGCGUGGACGCCAGUUCGCGUGGAGCCAUCCUUGAAAUACCACCCUGGCAUGCUUGAGGUUCUAACUCUGGUCCGUAAUCCGGAUCGAGGACAGUGUAUGGUGGGCAGUUUGACUGGGGCGGUCUCCUCCUAAAGAGUAACGGAGGAGUACGAAGGUGCGCUCAGACCGGUCGGAAAUCGGUCGCAGAGUAUAAAGGCAAAAGCGCGCUUGACUGCGAGACAGACGCGUCGAGCAGGUACGAAAGUAGGUCUUAGUGAUCCGGUGGUUCUGUAUGGAAGGGCCAUCGCUCAACGGAUAAAAGGUACUCCGGGGAUAACAGGCUGAUACCGCCCAAGAGUUCAUAUCGACGGCGGUGUUUGGCACCUCGAUGUCGGCUCAUCACAUCCUGGGGCUGAAGCCGGUCCCAAGGGUAUGGCUGUUCGCCAUUUAAAGUGGUACGCGAGCUGGGUUUAGAACGUCGUGAGACAGUUCGGUCCCUAUCUGCCGUGGACGUUUGAGAUUUGAGAGGGGCUGCUCCUAGUACGAGAGGACCGGAGUGGACGAACCUCUGGUGUUCCGGUUGUCACGCCAGUGGCAUUGCCGGGUAGCUAUGUUCGGAAAAGAUAACCGCUGAAAGCAUCUAAGCGGGAAACUUGCCUCAAGAUGAGAUCUCACUGGGAACUUGAUUCCCCUGAAGGGCCGUCGAAGACUACGACGUUGAUAGGCUGGGUGUGUAAGCGUUGUGAGGCGUUGAGCUAACCAGUACUAAUUGCCCGUGAGGCUUGAUC
This 1487-nucleotide ribosomal RNA is filed under the name metagenome. Its description in RNAcentral is "bacterial LSU rRNA". It matches the Rfam family "Bacterial large subunit ribosomal RNA", at positions 1461 to 2925 of the family's 2925-position model. The record is from RNAcentral.